Molecule: long non-coding RNA, 264 nt
Organism: Microtus oregoni (creeping vole)
Lineage: Eukaryota; Metazoa; Chordata; Mammalia; Rodentia; Cricetidae
Exons: 3
Source: RefSeq, a predicted model, not a curated record
CCAGAAACCAUCCUCCCAUCCAAAAUCAGGUUAACGGAACUUAGGAGGAUAAAUCUGGUAGCUGGAACAUCUUGAAGGAAUCUGGAGAUUAAAUCCAGGGCUUGAACAAACUAAGCAUGGAUUCUACCACAGAACUACCCUCAUAGACCGCAUUCUGAUUCCUAGAUACUCAGAGUCAUCUAUGGUUCGCGGAGCAUCUUUAAGAACCUUCAUCUGGUGAUGGAUGGAGAUAGAGACAGAGACACACUGGAGCACCGGACUGAG